RNAcentral lists this ribosomal RNA (275 nucleotides) under uncultured bacterium. RNAcentral's name for it is "partial 16S ribosomal RNA". It matches the Rfam family "Bacterial small subunit ribosomal RNA", at positions 335 to 607 of the family's 1533-position model. The record is from RNAcentral.
GGACCUACGGGGCGCAGCAGUGAGAAAUAUUGGUCAAUGGUCGGGAGACUGAACCAGCCAAGCCGCGUGAGGGAUGAAGGUACAGAGUAUCGUAAACCUCUUUUGUCAGGGAACAAAGGCGGGGACGUGUCCCCGGAUGAGUGUACCCGAAGAAAAAGCAUCGGCUAACUCCGUGCCAGCAGCCGCGGUAAUACGGAGGAUGCGAGCGUUAUCCGGAUUUAUUGGGAUUAAAGGGUGCGUAGGCGGUCUGUUAAGUCAGCGGUCAAAGCCAGGGG